AUGCAGAUGUGGUCCGUCAGGAGGGCGGAGAAGGUGCUCGGCUCCAAGUGCAUCGUCGACCGCCUCGACAGCCGCACGCACGAGCGUGGACACACGCGCACGUUCGCCUGCUGGGUGUGGGUGUGGGACGUCGCCUUCAUCCCCACCAAGCACUCCAUCUGGCGGGCGGCGCGCGGCGCCGGCCGCGUCGAGGCCAUGCUGGGCUAGUCCCCCCCGAGCCGCGAGGUCGCUCCACCUCCCCGCGUCAAGCUGCACGAGAUGCUCAUCCACGUCGACCGCGUCGAGGACUGGUCGCCGCCCUCGCCGCGCUCCUCCCACUCCGCCCACAGCGGCCUGCCUUCCUCCGGCUCAGACGACGAGCACCCUUUCCCGAUGGUCUGGCCUGGGACACGGGCCAUGCACGUCGAGGAUGGGCAGGGGCAGAGCAGACGCCAUCCAGCGGUGGUCUCCACUGCCGGCUGCGGUGGCCUGUGA
This 474-nucleotide ribosomal RNA is filed under the name Triticum aestivum (bread wheat). Its description in RNAcentral is "partial small subunit ribosomal RNA". The record is from RNAcentral. Lineage: Eukaryota; Viridiplantae; Streptophyta; Magnoliopsida; Poales; Poaceae.